AAUUCGAAGCAACGCGAGAACUUACCAGGGCUUGACAUCCCUCUGACAGUCCCUUAACCGGGACCUUACUUCGGACAGAGGAGACAGGUGGUGCAUGGUUGUCGUCAGCUCGUGUCGUGAGAUGUUGGGUUAAGUCCCGCAACGAGCGCAACCCUUGUCUUUAGUUGCCAUCAUUCAGUUGGGCACUCUAGAGAGACUGCCGAGGACAACUCGGGAGGAAGGUGGGGAUGACGUCAAAUCAUCAUGCCCUUUAUGACCUGGGCUACACACGUGCUACAAUGGCCUAUACAAAGGGUAGCGAAGCCGCGAGGUGGAGCCAAUCCCAAAAAGUAGGUCUCAGUUCGGAUUGUAGGCUGCAACUCGCCUACAUGAAGUCGGAAUCGCUAGUAAUCGCGGAUCAGCAUGCCGCGGUGAAUACGUUCCCGGGCCUU
This 431-nucleotide ribosomal RNA is filed under the name uncultured Caryophanon sp. RNAcentral's name for it is "bacterial SSU rRNA". It matches the Rfam family "Bacterial small subunit ribosomal RNA", at positions 948 to 1382 of the family's 1533-position model. Lineage: Bacteria; Bacillati; Bacillota; Bacilli; Caryophanales; Caryophanaceae. The record is from RNAcentral.